RNAcentral lists this ribosomal RNA (731 nucleotides) under Nostoc sphaericum ISB210. RNAcentral describes it as "bacterial SSU rRNA". It matches the Rfam family "Bacterial small subunit ribosomal RNA", at positions 26 to 804 of the family's 1533-position model. Lineage: Bacteria; Bacillati; Cyanobacteriota; Cyanophyceae; Nostocales; Nostocaceae. The record is from RNAcentral.
GGGUUAGAACAAUGCGGGACACACUCGCAGUCGAACGGUGCCUUCGGGCAUAGUGGCGGACGGGUGAGUAACGCGUGAGAAUCUAGCUCUAGGUCGGGGACAACCACUGGAAACGGUGGCUAAUACCGGAUGAGCCGAAAGGUAAAAGAUUUAUUGCCUAGAGAUGAGCUCGCGUCUGAUUAGCUAGUAGGUGUGGUAAGAGCGCACCUAGGCGACGAUCAGUAGCUGGUCUGAGAGGAUGAUCAGCCACACUGGGACUGAGACACGGCCCAGACUCCUACGGGAGGCAGCAGUGGGGAAUUUUCCGCAAUGGGCGAAAGCCUGACGGAGCAAUACCGCGUGAGGGAGGAAGGCUCUUGGGUUGUAAACCUCUUUUCUCAGGGAAUAAGAACUGAAGGUACCUGAGGAAUAAGCAUCGGCUAACUCCGUGCCAGCAGCCGCGGUAAUACGGAGGAUGCAAGCGUUAUCCGGAAUGAUUGGGCGUAAAGGGUCCGCAGGUGGCCUUGUAAGUCUGCUGUUAAAGAGUGAGGCUUAACCUCAUAAAAGCAGUGGAAACUACAAAGCUAGAGUGCGUUCGGGGUAGCAGGAAUUCCUGGUGUAGCGGUGAAAUGCGUAGAGAUCAGGAAGAACACCGGUGGCGAAAGCGUGCUACUAGGCCGUAACUGACACUGAGGGACGAAAGCUAGGGGAGCGAAAGGGAUUAGUCCCCCCUCUUGUUAAUCUCAUCAAAA